UGAACGCUGGCGGCAGGCCUAACACAUGCAAGUCGAGCGGUAGAGAGAAGCUUGCUUCUCUUGAGAGCGGCGGACGGGUGAGUAAUGCCUAGGAAUCUGCCUGGUAGUGGGGGAUAACGUUCGGAAACGGACGCUAAUACCGCAUACGUCCUACGGGAGAAAGCAGGGGACCUUCGGGCCUUGCGCUAUCAGAUGAGCCUAGGUCGGAUUAGCUAGUUGGUGAGGUAAUGGCUCACCAAGGCGACGAUCCGUAACUGGUCUGAGAGGAUGAUCAGUCACACUGGAACUGAGACACGGUCCAGACUCCUACGGGAGGCAGCAGUGGGGAAUAUUGGACAAUGGGCGAAAGCCUGAUCCAGCCAUGCCGCGUGUGUGAAGAAGGUCUUCGGAUUGUAAAGCACUUUAAGUUGGGAGGAAGGGCAGUUACCUAAUACGUGAUUGUUUUGACGUUACCGACAGAAUAAGCACCGGCUAACUCUGUGCCAGCAGCCGCGGUAAUACAGAGGGUGCAAGCGUUAAUCGGAAUUACUGGGCGUAAAGCGCGCGUAGGUGGUUUGUUAAGUUGGAUGUGAAAUCCCCGGGCUCAACCUGGGAACUGCAUUCAAAACUGACUGACUAGAGUAUGGUAGAGGGUGGUGGAAUUUCCUGUGUAGCGGUGAAAUGCGUAGAUAUAGGAAGGAACACCAGUGGCGAAGGCGACCACC
Molecule: ribosomal RNA, 704 nt
Filed under: Pseudomonas sp.
Lineage: Bacteria; Pseudomonadati; Pseudomonadota; Gammaproteobacteria; Pseudomonadales; Pseudomonadaceae
Description: bacterial SSU rRNA
Rfam family: Bacterial small subunit ribosomal RNA
Source: RNAcentral